Molecule: ribosomal RNA, 469 nt
Filed under: uncultured bacterium
Lineage: Bacteria
Description: bacterial SSU rRNA
Rfam family: Bacterial small subunit ribosomal RNA
Source: RNAcentral
CAAGCGGUGGAACAUGUGGUUUAAUUCGAGGCAACGCGAAGAACCUUACCAGGAUUCGACAUGCCCUCUAUGGAUUUCCGAAAAGAAAUCCUUCACUUCGGGUGGGAGGAGCACAGGUGCUGCAUGGCUGUCGUCAGCUCGUGUCGUGAGAUGUUGGGUUAAGUCCCGCAACGAGCGCAACCCUCGUCCUCUGUUGCUAACAGGUUAGGCUGAGCACUCUGAGGAAACUGCCGGUGAUAAGCCGGAGGAAGGUGGGGAUGACGUCAAGUCCUCAUGGCCCUUACAUCCUGGGCUACACACGUGUUACAAUGGCGGUGACAAUGAGUCGCGAUCGCGCAAGCGCUAGCUAAUCUCAAAAAGCCGCCUCAGUUCGGAUUGCACUCUGCAACUCGAGUGCAUGAAGCUGGAAUCGCUAGUAAUCGCGGAUCAGCACGCCGCGGUGAAUACGUUCCCGGGUCUUGUACACACC